CUACGGGGGGCAGCAGUGGGGAAUAUUGGACAAUGGGGGAAACCCUGAUCCAGCAAUGCCGCGUGUGUGAAGAAGGCCUGCGGGUUGUAAAGCACUUUCGGUUGGGAGGACUGCUUCUAGCACUAAUAUUGUUGGAAGUUGACGUUACCUUCAGAAGAAGCACCGGCUAACUCCGUGCCAGCAGCCGCGGUAAUACGGAGGGUGCAAGCGUUAAUCGGAAUUACCGGGCGUAAAGCGCGCGUAGGCGGCUAGAUCAGUCGGGUGUGAAAGCCCCGGGCUUAACCUGGGAACUGCAUCCGAUACUGUCUAGCUUGAGUACAGGAGAGGAGAGUGGAAUUCCACAUGUAGCGGUGAAAUGCGUAGAUAUGUGGAGGAACACCAAUGGCGAAGGCAGCUCUCUGGCCUGAUACUGACGCUGAGGUGCGAAAGCGUGGGGAGCAAACAGGGUUAGAUACCCUAGUAGUC
RNAcentral lists this ribosomal RNA (465 nucleotides) under uncultured bacterium. Its description in RNAcentral is "partial 16S ribosomal RNA". It matches the Rfam family "Bacterial small subunit ribosomal RNA", at positions 339 to 795 of the family's 1533-position model. The record is from RNAcentral.